CUGCGAAUGGCUCAUUAUAUAAGUUAUCGUUUAUUUGAUAGUACCUUACUACUUGGAUAACCGUGGUAAUUCUAGAGCUAAUACAUGCUGAAAAUCCCGACUUCGGAAGGGAGGUAUUUAUUAGAUUAAAAACCAAUGCCCUCUGGGCUCCUUGGUGAUUCAUAAUAACUUUUCGAAUCGCACGGCCUUGCGCCGGCGAUGGUUCAUUCAAAUUUCUUCCCUAUCAACUUUCGAUGUUUGGGUAUUGGCCAAACAUGGUCGCAACGGGUAACGGAGGGUUAGGGCUCGACCCCGGAGAAGGAGCCUGAGAAACGGCUACUACAUCCAAGGAAGGCAGCAGGCGCGCAAAUUACCCAAUCCCGAUUCGGGGAGGUAGUGACAAUAAAUACUGAUACAGGGCUCUUUUGGGUCUUGUAAUUGGAAUGAGUACAAUUUAAAUCUCUUAACGAGGAACAAUUGGAGGGCAAGUCUGGUGCCAGCAGCCGCGGUAAUUCCAGCUCCAAUAGCGUAUAUUAAAGUUGUUGUGGUUAAAAAGCUCGUAGUUGAACCUUGGGCCUGGCUGGCCGGUCCGCCUCACCGCGUGUACUGGUCCGGCCGGGCCUUUCCCUCUGUGGAACCUCAUGCCCUUCACUGGGUGUGGCGGGGAAACAGGACUUUUACUUUGAAAAAAUUAGAGUGCUCCAGGCAGGCCUAUGCUCGAAUACAUUAGCAUGGAAUAAUAAAAUAGGACGCGUGGUUCUAUUUUGUUGGUUUCUAGGACCGCCGUAAUGAUUAAUAGGGACAGUCGGGGGCAUCAGUAUUCAAUUGUCAGAGGUGAAAUUCUUAGAUUUAUUGAAGACUAACUACUGCGAAAGCAUUUGCCAAGGAUGUUUUCAUUAAUCAGGAACGAAAGUUAGGGGAUCGAAGACGAUCAGAUACCGUCGUAGUCUUAACCAUAAACUAUGCCGACUAGGGAUCGGACGAUGUUAUUUUUUGACGCGUUCGGCACCUUACGAGAAAUCAAAGUGCUUGG
Molecule: ribosomal RNA, 1012 nt
Filed under: Beauveria bassiana
Lineage: Eukaryota; Fungi; Ascomycota; Sordariomycetes; Hypocreales; Cordycipitaceae
Description: SSU rRNA
Rfam family: Eukaryotic small subunit ribosomal RNA
Source: RNAcentral